Molecule: ribosomal RNA, 301 nt
Filed under: uncultured bacterium
Lineage: Bacteria
Description: partial 16S ribosomal RNA
Rfam family: Bacterial small subunit ribosomal RNA
Source: RNAcentral
CAGCAGCCGCGGUAAUACGAAGGGGGCUAGCGUUGUUCGGAAUCACUGGGCGUAAAGGGUGCGCAGGCUGGUUCUUAAGUCAGGGGUGAAAUCCCGAGGCUCAACCUCGGAACGGCCUCUGAUACUGGCGACCUUGAGUAUGGGAGAGGUGAGUGGAACUCCGAGUGUAGAGGUGAAAUUCGUAGCUAUUCGGAAGAACACCAGUGGCGAAGGCGACUCACUGGCCCAUUACUGACGCUGAGGCUCGAAAGCGUGGGGAGCAAACAGGAUUAGAUACCCCUGUAGUCCCUGUCUCUUAUAC